Molecule: long non-coding RNA, 355 nt
Organism: Erinaceus europaeus (western European hedgehog)
Lineage: Eukaryota; Metazoa; Chordata; Mammalia; Eulipotyphla; Erinaceidae
Exons: 4
Source: RefSeq, a predicted model, not a curated record
UAUGCAGUGAGACACCAGCAGGUGGGAGAGAGGCCUCCCCACAGCUGUGAGGUCACCAACAUCCUGGUUCCCUUCAGCACAAGAAAAAGUCAGCAUGAGAGGAAAUUGGACAAUUCCAACAGGAAGGUGACUCUCUUUCUCUUACAUAUGAGGGAAUAUGGCAACUACUGCCCAGGAGGUUAAGACUUGGCUGAGGCUGGAGAGGAAAAAGUGAGGCUCCUGGCCAGAGACAGAAAGGGAAAGGCACAAGUUUAGUCUGGCGAACACAACCCAGGUUGAGAAUAGGGAGCAGGGAGGCAGCAGCAGCAGGAGGAAGAAAGCCCACACCACAUAUCUGGACUCACGGACACCUGGG